UCACAAUAAAGUGAUACAUAGGGGAGAAAAAAAAACACAUAUAAAGAAAGCUGAAAAGACCGAUAGUAUCUCAAGGUAGUUGUCGGCGUUGAUUUCCACCAUUUUUCCCGGCAAAAACAAGGCCAUCGUCCAUUUUUUCCAGCCAUUUCUCAAAAUUUUCGGCAAUUCUUCUUUCUGGUAGAAGGUUCAAGAAUGAUUUGUUAGAUGUCGUUUGGAAGCAAUGAGCACAUUUACAAGAUUCUUGACAUGGGCAAAAGAUCAGCUAGUUGAGCAAAAUAGUUUGGGUAGGACUAUGAAUGUUGAUCAGACAAUGAAACUAAGAGAUAUUGUGCAGAAAGACUGCUGAGUUGACAAAGUAGAUCAAAGAGAUAAAAUCUCAAGAGAAAAAGGAAAGUUACAAAUUAUACCAUGAACUAGAACCUAGAUGGAAAUCUGAAGUAAAUGAUCAAAUAAGAGACAAAGAGACAGAAAGAUAAAACUUACAAAGGGCUUAGAGGAUUCAACAGCAGUCAAUUUGAGGUGUUAGUUUCGGUCUUUGACAAUGGCAGUGAGUGACUUAGCUUCGGUCUUCAACAAUGGCGUUAUGAUUGGCUUAGCUUCGGUCUUCAACGAUGAUGGUUGUCGGAGAUGUCAAUGAUGUUCGUGGUGAUGUUAGGAUUGAGAACUGAAAGUUGAAAGAUGUGAAUAAUGAAAAGGGAAAGGUCGUGAAUGUUAAAAAUUAGGGAUUUUGAAUAGAAAAGUUAUUUUUGUAAUUUUGGUACUCUAACUAAUUAUAUUUGGCCAUUUUGUUAAAAUUUUCAAAA
Humulus lupulus (European hop) is the source of this 803-nucleotide long non-coding RNA. RefSeq lists it as uncharacterized. NCBI's taxonomy places the organism in Eukaryota, Viridiplantae, Streptophyta, Magnoliopsida, Rosales, Cannabaceae. The record is from RefSeq and is a predicted model, not a curated record. The transcript has 5 exons.